AUAGCGUAUAUUAAAGUUGUUGCAGUUAAAAAGCUCGUAGUUGAAUUUCGGGCCUGGCCGGGUGGUCCACUUGCCAGUGGCUACUGCCUGGCCGAUCAAUUUAAUGAGCCGUCCUAUGGUGCUCUUCACCGAGUGUCAUAGGCGAUCAUUACGUUUACUUUGAAAAAAUUAGAGUGCUCAAAGCAGGCCUUAGUGCCCGAAUAAUGUUGCAUGGAAUAAUGGAAUAGGAUCUCGGUUCUAUUCUGUUGGUCUUCGGAGUCUGAGAUAAUGAUUAAGAGGGACAGACGGGGGCAUUCGUAUUGCAGCGCUAGAGGUGAAAUUCUUGGACCGUUGCAAGACGAA
RNAcentral lists this ribosomal RNA (342 nucleotides) under uncultured eukaryote. RNAcentral describes it as "SSU rRNA". It matches the Rfam family "Eukaryotic small subunit ribosomal RNA", at positions 594 to 939 of the family's 1831-position model. The record is from RNAcentral.